CCGAAUUUUGUCUUCUCUAUUCCACUGUUCUCUUUGGCUUUAACUCUAAACAUGAAUAAACAUUAUAAGAAAGAGUACAUGCAGGAAGUCUAGAUUUUUAGUUUUCUGGUACAAAUAUAUGUUAUAUAACGUACAGUUCUUGCCUACUCUUUUGUUUCUUUUUCCCCGGCCCCUUCCUCUUUUUGCCGUCUUCCUGAGUUCCCCAUCUCAACUUAUCCAGCCAGGUAGACAAAAGGUAAAAGAGUGCUCGUCUAGUUCUGGAGAUUUGCAUGUCUAAAUAUUCAAAGAAUAUCAGGGCAGGUUUCACUACGGCUUGCUAUAGUUCCAUAGCUGAUAUUUUAUGUUGUCUAUAUAUAUCUUAGAGGGUAGCUCUUUGCUUUGGUUGACAAUAAUAGAUGAUUGUUUGGAGUAGUAUUUCUUCAAUUUCUCAUUCAUAAACACAUAUAUGGACUGAACCUUGAAUGAAAUGCUGAAUCUCACACACCUUACACUCUUCCAAUGCUUCGACUAUUACAAGUUCAAGAAAAAAGAUAGAUUAAUUCUUGAGUAUCCGAGAACGAUAUUAUUAAACAAAAUUUAAAAGAAAAGUGCAACCAGAGAAGCCAUUGCAGCAAGUACAGCCGGUACACAUAAUGCUACCCCAGUAUUUUGUAUUGUUGGUAAUGGUGCAGGCGCUCCAUUAUCUUCAAGCGUAGCUGCAGCCGUGACUUCAAAACUGGAGAAGGCAAAAAGAACCAUAAUGUAGACGGCGAAAAAUUUGGCUAGCUUGGAACCUUCCAUAACUCUCUAAGUUGUUCUUUAGUGCUUGAGAAAAGCUAGAAGAAAGAGAUCGGAUUGUUUUUCUUAGUUUUAUGAGUGGGGAGCAUAAUGGAAAUGAUUUUAUAGGGUGGCUUUUGUGGGGUUAGCAAGAAGAAUCUGCCAACUAUAUAUUUCUUGUUUGUUUAACUAGAACGAGAAACAAUGUUGAACCUGUUUUGGGAAUUUUUUUUUGUUUGCCGUGAGUUGAGAUGGUAUUACUCGGGCUUUGCAUGGUAAUAAUCUGAUGGUUUGAAUCCC
RNAcentral lists this long non-coding RNA (1056 nucleotides) under Panax ginseng (ginseng). RNAcentral's name for it is "long non-coding RNA (PGIN_LNC008723)". Lineage: Eukaryota; Viridiplantae; Streptophyta; Magnoliopsida; Apiales; Araliaceae. The record is from RNAcentral.